This 113-nucleotide small nuclear RNA is filed under the name Octodon degus (degu). Lineage: Eukaryota; Metazoa; Chordata; Mammalia; Rodentia; Octodontidae. The record is from RNAcentral.
GUGCUCGCUUCUGCAGCACAUAUACUAAAAUUGGAACAAUACGGAGAAGAUUAGCAUGGUCAUCAUCCCUGAACAAGGAUGACAUGAAAAUUCAUGAAGUGUUCCAUAUUUUU